Molecule: ribosomal RNA, 491 nt
Filed under: uncultured bacterium
Lineage: Bacteria
Description: partial 16S ribosomal RNA
Rfam family: Bacterial small subunit ribosomal RNA
Source: RNAcentral
AGUGAACGCUGGCGGUAGGCCUAACACAUGCAAGUCGAACGGCAGCACAGUAAGAGCUUGCUCUUACGGGUGGCGAGUGGCGGACGGGUGAGGAAUACAUCGGAUUCUACUUUUUCGUGGGGGAUAACGUAGGGAAACUUACGCUAAUACCUCAUACUACCUACGGGUGAAAGCAGGGGAUCUUCGGACCUUUCGCGAUUGAAUGAGCCGAUGUCGGAUUAGCUAGUUUGCGGGGUAAAGGCCCCGCAAGGCGACGAUCCGUAGCUGGUCUGAGAGGAUGAGCAGCAACAGUGGAACUGAGAAACGGCCCAGACUCCUACGGGAGGCAGCAGUGGGGAAUAUUGGACAAGGGGCGAAAGCCUGAUCCAGCCAUACGGCGGGGGUGAAGAAGGCCUUCGGGUUGUAAAGCCCUUUUGUUGGGAAAGAAGAGCAGCAGGUUAAUACCCCGCUGUUCUGACGGUACCCAAAGAAUAAGCACCGGCUAACUUCGU